Triticum urartu is the source of this 928-nucleotide long non-coding RNA. RefSeq lists it as uncharacterized. The record is from RefSeq and is a predicted model, not a curated record. NCBI's taxonomy places the organism in Eukaryota, Viridiplantae, Streptophyta, Magnoliopsida, Poales, Poaceae.
UCCCCAUCGGCCAUCGUCUACUCGUCUCACGCACACUGCACGCACAGGCACACACUCACGCCUUCCCCAAUUUCCCAUCCUCUCAGACCCAGACUCAUGUAGGUUGUAGCCACGCCGUCGACGACCACCGCCGUGGACAGGGAACACGGUCCACCGGAGCGCGCCGCCCGCCAUCUCUCGAAGCAACCGCCGUGGCGACGCCCGCCGGGAUCUCGCCUCGCCCCUGCCCAGCUCCCUCCUGCCGCCCAUCAUCCGCCGGGAUCCAGUGUGCCAUGCGUGCUGCCGGCCAUCCAUUCCUGCGGUUGUUCUCCUUCAACGCCAAGUCUCCAAAUCUGGCGCAUGACCUAGGCCAGCCCCUUCUCCUUUUGUAUUCUGUCGCUGGCGCCCCCAUGACUUAGCACCUUGCCGCACGCACAGUGGCGGAGCCAGGAAAUUUGAAUCAGGGGGGCCGAUUGUAGUCAAAAUAGGUUGGGGAGGGCCAAAGCAUAGAAAAAAUAGACUUUAAGCAUCAAAAAAUUGCUAAUUACGCACUGUUCAUCAGUGAAUUAGCAGCAAACUCCUAAUGUCAGGGGGGGCCAGUCCCCCUGUCUCCGCCACUGCGCACGCACACUUCACAGGUAGUCAUGGGAAAGGAAAAUAAGACUCAGAGAAGAAGAAGAACACUAAGACAAGAUUACGCAAUAAGAUGGAAGAUGAGAACCUGGCUAAUAACUUGUUAGUUCACAUAGAUGGUGGAAUUCUAGAAAACUACAGCCACGACGAAGUCAUUGCAGAUUUUAUAAGCAAGAAGGAUCGGAGAGUUGAUUGUAUGUGAGUAGGUCCAUGUCUAAUGUCUCGACACUUUUGUAUUAGCUAACUCAAUAGUGACUCAUGGUUGAACUGUACUUUGGUUCAUAUAUAUUAUAUAUAUACAUAUCUGCUAGCUCAA